This 1355-nucleotide ribosomal RNA is filed under the name uncultured bacterium. RNAcentral's name for it is "bacterial SSU rRNA". It matches the Rfam family "Bacterial small subunit ribosomal RNA", at positions 28 to 1381 of the family's 1533-position model. The record is from RNAcentral.
GACGAACGCUUGCGGCGCUGCUUAACACAUGCAAGGCGAACGGAAAGGACCUGCUUUUGUGGGGUGCUCGAGUGGCAAACGGGUGAGAAACACGAGAGUAACCUGCACAUGACUUUGGGAUAACUUCAUGAAACUGGUGCUAAUACCGGAUAGGAGCUCCUGCUGCAUGGUGGAGGGUUGGAAAGAUUGACGGACGGGUGGGGAUGGACUCCCGGCUUAUAAGCUUGUUGGGGGGGCAGUGGCUAACCAAGGCUUUGACGGGCAGCCGGCCUGAGAGGGUGACCGGCCUCAUUGGGACAGAUAUACCGCCCACUACUCCUACGGGAGGCAGCACUAGCGUAAUAUUGCAGAUGGGAGGAAGCCUGAUGCACCAACGCCUCGUGCGAUAUGACAGACUUCGGGUUGAAAACCGGUUUCUCCUGUGACAAAGCGUGAGUGACGGUAAUGGGUAAAGAAGCACCGGCUAACUACAUGCCAUCAACCUCGAUGAUACCUACGGUGCUACCGUUGUCCGGAUUUAUUGGGCGUAAAUGCCUCGUAGAUGCUUGAUCACGAACCAAAUGUAAUCUUGUCGCUUAACCCUGAGCGUGCUACCAAUACAGCUUGACUUGAUGAAUGUACGGGAGAAUGCAAUUCCUGGUGGAGCGGUGGAAUGCGCAGAUAUCAGGAGGAACACCAGUGGUGAAGGCGGUUCUCUGGCCCUUUCCUGACGCUGAGGAGAGAAAGCUUUGGGAGCGAACAGGCUUAGAUACCCUGGUAGUCCACGCCGUAAACGGUGGGUACUAGGUGUGGGGUGCAUUCCACGGGCUCCGCGCCGUAGCUAACGCUUUAAGCACCCCGCCAGGGGAGUACGGCCGCAAGGCUAAAACUCAAAGGAAUUGACGGGGCCCCGCACAAGCGGCGGAGCAUGCGGAUUAAUUCGAUGCAACGCGAAGAAACCUUACCUGGGUCUGACAUGGAUCGGGAGUGCUCAGAGAGGGGUGUGCCUCUUCUUGGGGUCGGUUCACAGGUGGUGCAUGCCCGUCGUCAGCUCGUGUCGUGAGAUGUUGGGUUAAGUCCCGCCACGAGCGCAGCCCUUGUUCUCUGUCGCCAGCACGUUAUGGUGGGGACUCAGCGGAUCACCCCCGGGGUCAACUCGGAGGAAGGUGGGGACGUCGUCAAGUCCUCAUGCCCCCUACGUCCAGGGCUUCGCGCAUGCUCCAAUGCCUGGUACAGAGAGUGGCGACCCUGUGAGGGCGAGCGACUCUCGGAAAUCCGCUCUCAGUUCGGAUCGGGGUCUCCAACUAGUCCUCAUGCAGUCGGAGUCGUUAGUAAUCGCAGAUCAGCAACGAUGCGGUGAAUCCGUUCCCGGGGCU